GUACAAACAAGGCAAAGUUGUUGAAAAACAAUGACGCAAAACUAUAGGGUCUAAACUUUUUAAGUAUGACAGCCAGUUGCACUA
Candidatus Stoquefichus sp. KLE1796 is the source of this 84-nucleotide non-coding RNA. NCBI's taxonomy places the organism in Bacteria, Bacillati, Bacillota, Erysipelotrichia, Erysipelotrichales, Erysipelotrichaceae. The record is from Rfam.